This 485-nucleotide ribosomal RNA is filed under the name uncultured bacterium. RNAcentral's name for it is "bacterial SSU rRNA". It matches the Rfam family "Bacterial small subunit ribosomal RNA", at positions 30 to 507 of the family's 1533-position model. The record is from RNAcentral.
AUUGAACGCUGGCGGCAUGCCUUACACAUGCAAGUCGAACGGCAGCACGGGAGCAAUCCUGGUGGCGGAGUGGCGAACGGGUGAGUAAUAUAUCGGAACGUGCCCAGUCGUGGGGGAUAACGUAGCGAAAGCUACGCUAAUACCGCAUACGAUCUACGGAUGAAAGCGGGGGAUCGCAAGACCUCGCGCGAUUGGAGCGGCCGAUAUCAGAUUAGCUAGUUGGUGGGGUAAAAGCUCACCAAGGCGACGAUCUGUAGCUGGUCUGAGAGGACGACCAGCCACACUGGAACUGAGACACGGUCCAGACUCCUACGGGAGGCAGCAGUGGGGAAUUUUGGACAAUGGGCGCAAGCCUGAUCCAGCCAUUCCGCGUGCAGGAUGAAGGCCUUCGGGUUGUAAACUGCUUUUGUACGGAACGAAACGGCGAGCUCUAAUACAGUUUGCUAAUGACGGUACCGUAAGAAUAAGCACCGGCUAACUACGUG